UACGAAGGGGGCUAGCGUUGUUCGGAACCACUGGGCGUAAAGCGCACGUAGGCGGGUUCUUAAGUCAGGGGUGAAAUCCCGAGGCUCAACCUCGGAACUGCCUUUGAUACUGGGAAUCUUGAGUUCGGGAGAGGUGAGUGGAAUUGCGAGUGUAGAGGUGAAAUUCGUAGAUAUUCGCAGGAACACCAGUGGCGAAGGCGGCACACUGGCCCAUUACUGACGCUGAGGCGCGAAAGCGUGGGGAGCAAACAGG
RNAcentral lists this ribosomal RNA (253 nucleotides) under uncultured bacterium. Its description in RNAcentral is "partial 16S ribosomal RNA". It matches the Rfam family "Bacterial small subunit ribosomal RNA", at positions 524 to 776 of the family's 1533-position model. The record is from RNAcentral.